Molecule: ribosomal RNA, 252 nt
Filed under: uncultured bacterium
Lineage: Bacteria
Description: partial 16S ribosomal RNA
Rfam family: Bacterial small subunit ribosomal RNA
Source: RNAcentral
UACGUAGGUCCCGAGCGUUGUCCGGAUUUAUUGGGCGUAAAGCGAGCGCAGGUGGUUUAUUAAGUCUGGUGUAAAAGGCAGUGGCUCAACCAUUGUAUGCAUUGGAAACUGGUAGACUUGAGUGCAGGAGAGGAGAGUGGAAUUCCAUGUGUAGCGGUGAAAUGCGUAGAUAUAUGGAGGAACACCGGUGGCGAAAGCGGCUCUCUGGCCUGUAACUGACACUGAGGCUCGAAAGCGUGGGGAGCAGACAGG